GAUGAACGCUGGCGGUAUGCUUAACACAUGCAAGUCGAACGGGGUUCAUAGUCACCUAGUGGCGGACGGGUGAGUAACGCGUGAGAAUCUGGCCUCAGGUCCGGGACAACCACGGGAAACGGUGGCUAAUACCGGAUGUGCCAUAUUGGUGAAAGAUUAAUUGCCUGAGGAUGAGCUCGCGUCUGAUUAGCUAGUUGGUGGGGUAAAGGCUUACCAAGGCGACGAUCAGUAACUGGUCUGAGAGGAUGACCAGUCACACUGGGACUGAGACACGGCCCAGACUCCUACGGGAGGCAGCAGUGGGGAAUUUUCCGCAAUGGGCGAAAGCCUGACGGAGCAAUACCGCGUGAGGGAGGAAGGCUCUUGGGUUGUAAACCUCUUUUCUCAGGGAAGAAGAAUGACGGUACCUGAGGAAUCAGCAUCGGCUAACUCCGU
RNAcentral lists this ribosomal RNA (435 nucleotides) under uncultured bacterium. RNAcentral describes it as "partial 16S ribosomal RNA". It matches the Rfam family "Bacterial small subunit ribosomal RNA", at positions 28 to 506 of the family's 1533-position model. The record is from RNAcentral.